UACGUAGGGGGCAAGCGUUGUCCGGAAUCAUUGGGCGUAAAGCGCGCGUAGGCGGCCUCCUAAGUCCGUUGUGAAAGUCAAAGGCUCAACCUUUGAAAGCCGAUGGAUACUGUGAGGCUAGAGUCCGGAAGAGGCGAGUGGAAUUCCUGGUGUAGCGGUGGAAUGCGCAGAUAUCAGGAGGAACACCAAUAGCGAAGGCAGCUCGCUGGGACGGUACUGACGCUAAGGCGCGAAAGCGUGGGGAGCGAACAGG
This 253-nucleotide ribosomal RNA is filed under the name uncultured bacterium. RNAcentral describes it as "partial 16S ribosomal RNA". It matches the Rfam family "Bacterial small subunit ribosomal RNA", at positions 524 to 776 of the family's 1533-position model. The record is from RNAcentral.